This 1098-nucleotide long non-coding RNA is filed under the name Anolis carolinensis (green anole). RNAcentral describes it as "lncRNA (ENSACAG00000037946.1)". Lineage: Eukaryota; Metazoa; Chordata; Lepidosauria; Squamata; Anolidae. The record is from RNAcentral.
AUGGGGAGCCCUCUCAGCCCAGUAGUAGCAAAUUUCUAUAUGGAAUACUUUGAAAAACAGGCCCUAGAAACAGCACCAAAAAAGCCAACUGUUUGGUUCAGAUACGUAGAUGACACCUUCACAAUUUGGAGCCAUGGAGAGGAAGAACUCAGCAAGUUCCUGGACCAUCUUAACAGCAUCCACCCAAACAUCCAAUUCACCAUGGAAAAAGAAAAGGAAGGAAAACUGCCAUUUCUAGAUGUUCUGGUCAUCCGCAAACCCAAUCAACAAUUGGACCACACAGUUUACAGAAAACCUACACACAGAGAUAGAUACCUUCAUAAAAACUCCAACCAUCACCCAAGUCAAAAAAGGAGCACAAUCAAAGCCCUGACAGACCGUGCACAAAGAAUCUGUGAACCUUACCUCCUCCAAGAUGAACUCAACCACCUAAACUGGGCUCUACAGGCCAAUGGAUACUCCACCACAGACAUCAGAAGAGCUGCAAGGCCAAGAACAAGCCAUGAGAGUCAAGACAAAGAUCCACCCAGAGGAAAGGUGUUCUUACCAUGCAUCAAGGGAACCACUGACCGCAUAGGCAAAUUGAUGAAGAAGCACAACCUACAAACUAUCUACAGACCCACAAAGAAAAUCCAACAAAUGCUACGGUCAGCGAAGGACAAGAGGGAUCCUCUCUCUUCUGCAGGAGUCUACCGGAUACCAUGCAGCUGUGGACAAGUAUAUAUAGGGACCACCAAACGCAGCGCCCAAACAAGAGUCAAAGAACAUGAAAGGCACUGCAGACUAAUUCAACCAGAGAAAUCAGCCAUAGCAGAGCAUUUGAUGAACCAGCCUGGACACAGGAUACUAUUUGAGAACACAAAAAUGCUGGACCAUUCCAACAACUAUCAUGUCAGACUACACAGAGAAGCCAUUGAAAUCCACAAGCAUGUGGACAACUUCAACAGAAAGGAAGAAACCAUGAAAAUGAACAAAAUCUGGCUACCAGUAUUACAAAACUCCAAAAUCAAAACAGUAGAUGGGAACCAACUCUCUGAGGGCUUGACUAAACAAAGGAUGCCCCCAGGCAUGAGACAAAAUAUUUCCAAUGCUAAUUAG